Molecule: ribosomal RNA, 301 nt
Filed under: uncultured bacterium
Lineage: Bacteria
Description: partial 16S ribosomal RNA
Rfam family: Bacterial small subunit ribosomal RNA
Source: RNAcentral
CAGCCGCCGCGGGAAAACAGAGGGUGCAAGCGUUAAUCGGAAUUACUGGGCGUAAAGCGCGCGUAGGUGGUUUGUUAAGUUGGAUGUGAAAUCCCCGGGCUCAACCUGGGAACUGCAUCCAAAACUGGCAGGCUAGAGUAGGGCAGAGGGUGGUGGAAUUUCCUGUGUAGCGGUGAAAUGCGUAGAUAUAGGAAGGAACACCAGUGGCGAAGGCGACCACCUGGGCUCAUACUGACACUGAGGUGCGAAAGCGUGGGGAGCAAACAGGAUUAGAUACCCCGGUAGUCCCUGUCUCUUAUAC